GCUCCCACACUUUCUCCUUCUCUUAACUCCACCAUUGCCUCCUCCCUCCCCUUGUUCUCCCCGCCAGCCCCAGGGACAUGAAGCACUUGGAUUGUCGGGAGCUGCCCGCCUUCAGCCACCGGCCAGUGGCCAGCACCCCGGGUUCGGCCCUCUGCCAGUGCGGGCUCAAAGGCCCCACGCCCACGCAGCCAAUCCUCACAUGACGGUGACCAGAGGCCACUUGAGCUCAGGCACCUCGGCUGGCACGUACUCCACCCUCCAGGGCUCGGGGCAUGACGGGCACCUCGGCUGGCACGUACUCCACCCUCCAGGGCUCGGGGCAUGACGGGCACCUCGGCUGGCACGUACUCCACCCUCCGGGGCUCGGGGCAUGACGGGCACCUCGGCUGGCACGUACUCCACCCUCCGGGGCUCGGGGCAUGACGGGCACCUCGGCUGGCACGUACUCCACCCUCCGGGGCUCGGGGCAUGACGGGCACCUCGGCUGGCACGUACUCCCUCCGGGGCUCGGGGCAUGACGGGCACCUCGGCUGGCACGUACUCCACCCUCCGGGGCUCGGGGCAUGACGGGCACCUCGGCUGGCACGUACUCCACCCUCCGGGGCUCGGGGCAUGACGGGCACCUCGGCUGGCACGCACUCCACCCUCCGGGGCUCGGGGCAUGACGGGCACCUCGGCUGGCACGUACUCCACCCUCCGGGGCUCGGGGCCUGAGGAGCAGAAGGUGGCCCUGGGCAGAUGCUCUGCGUGCGGGAGGCUGCGCUUUCAGUCAUUAUUUGGAUUUCGUUUUCCACAUGAAAAUAUUUAGAGAUCCAGCUCUUGGAAGCCAAGGAGAAACUGGCUUUUAAGGUAAAGGAAGGCAAGUUUGCCGAGGUGAUGGGAAGACACCUUGCAACUGCGAAACCUCCAAAUUUACCGGUAGAACCUGGCACACAGCUUUUGCCGUCGUUUGGAGAAUUACUGCGUGCACUGCCGUUCGCUCAGAGCCAUUGUGCACGUUUGUUUCUCUGAUCACUAACAGCCUGCACGUUUCCAGCGUUUCCAGUUUCCAGCGUUGUAUGGGGAUUUCCACGUGUUUCAGUCGCUUAUUAGCUUUUGUGGCUUCAGGGUGAGCCGUGGCGUCUGAGACACCCAGCCACAUCGUUCCGCUGUGGGCGGGGCAUUGAAGACAGGUCUGAAAACGUUCCAGCUCUUGCUGGAAGGGACGUCAUUUCUGAACACGUGAGGGGUCUGAGUUUCUUUACGACAGCAGCUUCUAUUGAGCGAAAUGGUCAGAAAACCAUUGCUCUAGUUAAUAUUUUAGAUAGUUGCAAGUUACUCCAUUUACCAUAUAUACUUUACAACUUUCCAAAGAGUUAAAAUACAGAAGGGGCCUUACUUCCAAAUAUGAAGUGUGUGGGUGCACCGGUUGUUUCAAAUUCAGAACGUGUUUUCCACAAUGACAACGUCAUAAAUGCCGUUGAGAUUCCCAGGCCGGCUCCUAGAAACCCUUAAUAGUAGAAAACCAUAGGGGGAAACACCAGUAAUUAGACAGAACAGAAUACAAUUGCUUUUUUAAAAGUUAUUUUGAUCCCUGGUGGUCAAAUGAAAAACAUGAUCAUGGGAGGCCAUGGAAGGUGAGCCGUCGAUAUUCCGAAGGGAAGCCGGGAUCCGUCCAAGGGCGUUCGAGAUAAAAGCAGGAGCAAAGGCCACGUCGGGGACAUGAUACAUCACAACAUGCAGGCAGCAUGGCCCUGAGUCACCACGUGGAGACAAGCCUCAAGAGGACUCCACUUCCCAGUGGACGUUGCACGAGCAAGCAGGAAACCUCUUCUGUGAGCCCCUGAGGUUCAGGGUUUUUUGUUUUUUUUUAGUACCAUGGCUACUGUGACGUAUCCUGACUAAUGCCGACAGCACAGGGAGCCUUUGCCUGCCGGAGGAAGCGGUGAGGAAGAGGUGGUGCGUCGUGCACUUCCUGUUGCUGUUUUAGGACAGCUUGGGUGAGUCCAGCAUUAAAAAUCAGAAUGGGAAAAAGGAGAGGAAACCCGGAAGGGUCUACAUGGGAAAGCCAGGGUCUGCGGAAGACAGAUUGUCUCUCCCAGGAUGCCUGGUGUUUUUGGAGGGGCACGCAGCAGUUGGAGGUUUGCAUUUCAGGAUUUGCCUUACAUUAAAAUGCAAUUUAUCUGUUAAUUCUAUUUACUUAUUUAACUCACAUGGAUUAACUGCCUAUUCUGUGUACCAGACGUAGUUUGUUCCAGGGAAGUGCUGCUGAACCAGGUAAACCCAGCCCCCCAUCUCCAGGAGCAGAGGCUGCAAGGACAGGAAGACAAUGAGGCAAUGGUGUGCUGGGGGAAUCGUGCUAAAGUGAAAGCAUCCUUCGAUCAUUUUUAAGUCAUUCUAGGAUCUUCAGGGCAUCAAAGUUUUGCCUGUGAGCCUCAAUUGGUCUAAUACAAAAAUACAGACUGUGGUUAAUCAUCUGAGCUUUGAGAUCAUGUGAGAUUGUAAUCCUGCCUUGGUUCUGCCACUUACUGCUGGUGAAGGAAAAAUUAAUCUUUCCAAACAGCUUGCAAGACAGAAAUCAUGCUUUCUACCUCCCAAAGCUGCUGUGGGCAUGAAACAGCCCACGUGCAUGAGGUGCCCAGCAUAGCGCCUGGAAAUCACACACAAUCACAGAAUCAUGGGGCCAGAGGAGGCCCUUGAAGUUUUAUCUGAUUUACUCCUCCCAUGAGAUGCUUUAAUUCUCCAACUUCUCCUCAAUGGCACCUAUAAAGAAAUGGGUUCUCCCUCUGUUGUUCUCUCUCUCGCUCUCAAGCUCUUUUAGUACUUAGAGUUACGCCACUUCAUUUGAAGUUUAACAUGGUAAAUCUUAGAGACCAUCCAAGUCCAACACAUUUAUUUUAUUUUUUUUUCUGAGACUGAGUUUUGCUCUUGUUGCCCAGGCUGGAGUGCAAUGGCACGAUCUCAGCUCACUGCAACCUCUGCCUCCCAGGUUCAAAUGAUUCUUUUGCCUCAGCCUCCUGAGUAGCUGGGAUUACAGGCAUGCGCCACCAUGUCCGCCUAAUUUUGUAUUUUUAGUAGAGACGGGUUUUCUCCAUGUUGGUCAGGCUGGUCUUGAACUCCUGACCUCAGGUCAUCCGCCCUCCCUUGGCCUCCCAAAGUGCUGGGAUUACAGGCGUGAACCACCACGCAUGGUCCCAACACCCUUAUUUUAAUGCUGUUAAUGUCACUGGAUUUCAUUUUUGGCCCAGCAUCUGCUUUCUCUUGUGGAAUGUGCCACGUGCAGUGGAGAAGAAUGUGUAUUUUCCAGGCGGUGGGUGCAGUGUUCAUCAUUUGGGUCAAGGUGAUGGAUGGUGUUGUUCAGAUAUUUGUCUUUACUGAUAUUUUUGUUGAGGGAUGUUGAAGUCCCUAAUUAUGAUUGUGGAAUCAUUUAUUUCUCCCUUUAACUCUGGAUGUUUGCAUCAUGUGUUCAGAAGCUGUUACAAGGUGGGUUCAACUCUACGACUGUCAGGUCUUUCUGAAGAGCCUUCCCUUCAGCAUUAUGAAGCGUCCCUCUUUAUUUCUAAUAAUACAUUUUGUCUAAAUGUCUAUUUUAUCUGAUAUUCACAGAGCUUCUCUAGUAUUCGUAUACUUACUGUUUGCAUGGUAUUUUCUUUUCCUUUCAUUUACUUUCAAUCAAUAUGUCUUCAUAUUUAAAGUGAAUCUCUAAGAACACUACAAUCUAAUUAGACAAAAAAUAAAGCAAAUCUUUUAGAGAUAGUAUAUAGUUGAAUCUUGCUUUCAAAAACUGUCUGACAAUCUGUCUUCUAAUUGGAGUGUUUAUUCUAUUCAUAUUCAAUGUAGUUGUUCAUAUGGUUGGAUUUAGGCCUACUUUUUGGGAGACAGGGGACAGAGUCUCACUCUGCCACCCAGGCUGAGUACAGUGGCAUGAUCAUGGCUCACUGCAGGCUCAGCCUCCCAGGGUCAAGCAAUCCUCCCAUCUCAGCCUCCCAAGUAGCUAGACUACCAGCACGUGCCACCACACUCAGCUAAGCAUCUUUUAUUAUUUGUUUUCUGUUUGUUUCCUCUGUUGUGGUUCUCUGUUCCUCCUAUUCUGCCUUCAUUUGAAUUAUGUUAAUGUUUUUUAGAAUUCCAUUGUACUGGUUUUAUUGACUUUUUAGCUAUAAAUACUCUCGGCAUUUUUAAGUGGCGGCUAAUGGAAUUCCAGUGCACAUCCUUAGAGUUUUCUUAGGGUUAAUAGUGUAACAUCUUAUGUACAUUUGUAAACCUUGCAGCAAAAUAAGUCCAUCUGCUUCCCCUUCCUCCGUUUUUUAAUGCUAUAGUUGCCAUAGGUAUUACAUCCACAUACUUUAUAAGCCUCACAAGAAAAUGUUUUACUUUUUGCUUUGAACAGUCACAUGCUUUGAACAGUCUUAAAUUAAAAGGAAAAUUAGUCUUUUGUAUUUAUCCAGCUAUUUACAAUUUCAGAUUUCUUCAUUCUUUCCCAAAGGUGCAAGUUUCCAUCUGGUAUUAUUUCUCUUUAGCCUCAAAAACCUCCUCUAGCAUUUCUUGUAGUCCAGAUCUGUUGGCAAUGAAUUAUUAUAGCCUUCUUUUAUCUGAAAAUGUUUUAAUUUUACAUUUAUCUUGAAAAGACAUUUUUUACUGGUUGUAUAAGUUUGUGUGACUAUUUUUUUUCUUUUAGCUUGUUUGGGUGGUUGUUCCACCAUAUUCUGGCUUCCAUAGUUUCUGAUGAGACGUCAGUAGUACCUGGAGUUGCUACUUCUCUCUAUAUAAUGUGUCAUUUUUCAUUUGCUGUGUUCCAGAUUUUUUUGGCUUGUUUUUCUUUGUAUUUAUUGAUCUUGAGGCUUAUGGAGCUUCUUAAAGUUGUAAAAUUAUGUCUUUCACCAAAUUUGGGCAUUUUUGGACAAUUACAUCUUCAAAUAUUUUUUGCCCCCUUCUCUCCUCUUUUUAUGGGACUCCAGUUCCAUGGAUGUUUAACAUUUGAUGUGGUCUUUCAAGUUCCUGAGGUUCUUGUUAGUUAUCCAUUGCUGCAUAACAAAUUACCCCCCAAACAGUUGGGGGUUAAACAAUAAUCAUAAUUUAUUACCUGUCUGUGGUUUCUGUGGGCCAGAAUCCACACAGGGCACUGUGAGGACAGACUGUCUCUCCUGGGAUGCCUGGCAUUUCAGCUGGAAUACUGAAGCCUGAAGGUUGGAGUCAUCUGAAGGUGCUCUCACCCACACAUCUGGCAAGUGGAGGGCUGAGGGCCCAGUGUGGCUAUUGGCCAAACACCCACGUGUGGGCUCUCCGUGUGGCCAGGACUGCCUCACAACACAGUGGCUGGGUUUGAAGGGCAAGCACGGGGGUUGGAGGCAGAAGUCAUGUUGCCUGUGGCGACCUGGCCUGGGAGUACCACAGUGUCACUUCCCCUGUCUCCUUUUGGUUGGGAAAGUUUCAGGGGUCUGACCAGCUAGAGUCCGCCCAGAGUCUGCCUAACUGGAGACUCUGGAUUUUGCUCUACCCCUGUUUAUUUGUUCAUUUGUUUGUUUAACCUGAUCGAUCUCAAACUGCAAACUGUUUAUUGGGUGGCAGCUCAAAUCUCAGAAAAAUUUGUAAAUUCUCCACUGGUGUGCUUUGUGUCUUCCUUGUGCACGCAUGUUUCAGGAGCUAGCCAGAGAUCUGGGCAGAGUUCAUGGCUCUCUCUCCCUUUCUCUCUCAAAAUUCUCCUCCUUUUCCAGAGGCUGUGUUUUCCCUGAACUCUGGCAUCCAGUCUUCAGGCAAGGACAACUUCUAUUAUGGUUUUAGCUGCCCCUACAGCACCAACUACAAUACACCCUUAGGAUAAAUCCAUAGAAAUGAGAAACUUGUUCUGUGUUACCACCUAAGAUCUACGCUUUAGCAAAUUUCAAGUAUAAAAUACAGUAUUAUGAACUAUAGUCACCAUGGUGGACAUGAGGUCUCCAGAAUUUAUUCCCCCUGCAUAACUGGAACUUUGCACCCUUUGACCAACACUUCCUCAACUUUCCCACCCCAGCUCCUGGCUGCCACCAUCCUACUCUCUGCUCCUAUGAGUGGCACUAUUUUAGAUUCCACAGAUAAGUGAGAUAUUGUGGUAUUUGUCCUCUGUGAUCAGCUUAUUUCACUUAGCAUGAUGUCCUUCAGGUUCAUCCAUGUUGUUGCAAAUGGCAGGAUGUCCUUCUUUUGAAAGACUGAGUAAAAUUCCACUGGGGACAGGUAUACACCACAUCCUCUUUACCUGUUUAUCCGUCCAUGGAUAUUAGGCUGUUUCCAUAUCCUGGCUAUUGUGAAUAAUAUGCCAGUGAACACGGGAGUGGAGGCAUCUCUUUGAGAUUUGGAUUUCAUUUUCUUUGGGUAUAUCCCCAGAAGUGGGAUUGCUGGAUCAUAUGGUGGCUAUGUUUUUAAUUUUUUGAGGCAUCUCCAUACUGUUUUCCAUAAUGGCUGUAUCAAUUUACAUUCCCACUAACAGUUCUAAGGGUUCCCUCUUCUUGACACCCUCCAUUCCUAAUGGUUUUGUGUAAAUGCGCAGGUCUCACCUCCACAGUUGGGUUGUAAUCCCGAGAGCAGAGCUGCAGUCCUCAUGCCUGCUGACCCUGCAGGGUGUGGUGUCUCUGUCCAUCCAAGGACCAGCCCUGUUCAUUGUCUAACACAGCAGCAGAAGCUGUGCACACUGACUUUCCCUACAAGAGCAGUGACCAGAGAAAGUUUAAUUUAUUCCACGCAGAAAUAUGGCUGAGGAGGGGAUGUUGACCUGCAGAUGACAUCACGGCGGCCACACACGUGCCUGGGGCUGCUGGAGAUGCUGGUUGGGGAGGAGUUUGGCCUUCUGAGGAGGAAGUCCCAGAGCAGACUUUGGCUCAACUCUAAGGUACAUUUGAGCUUGUAGAGGGAUCCCCGCCGCUCUCCUGCCUGUGAGCUCGCCCUUGGGCUUGGCAGCCGUGGUGCCUCCUGCCUGUGAACGCCCCUCUCCUCCUUUCUGUGAACGUCCCUCUCCUUCCUGUGAACGUCCCAGACUCUCCUCCUGCCUGUGAACGUCCCUCUCCUGCCCGUGAACGUCCCUCUCCUGCCCGUGAACGCCCCUGUCCUCCUGCUCCGCUCUCUCGACCUUUCCUUCCUUUUGUUGGAGAAUAAAGACCUGCGUCUCAUGGAGGUGGGGCCCAAUACCUGUUGGGAGGCCGGGGCUGGCAAACAAUGAAAAGAUCGCUGUUUUCCAAACUCACUCAAAGGCUUGUCGAUUCGACCUUUACUUCCAGAUCAGAGAAAAUGAUUUUGAUUUCAUGUUUUUGUUACCACGACGUUUGAAGGUGUGACCUUUAAAGCGACUUUUGUCUCCCGCUCAAACGCUUCUUGCCCCUUUCGGUUUUGUGCUGAAAUCAAAGUUGAUUCGGUUGCACCAAAGGCCUCCGUCAUUUUGGCUUCUGCCUGACGCGCACUGUGGGAAGAACGGUUUCAUUAUUGUGGGUCGCACCUCACCUCCCUUCGUGCU
This 7459-nucleotide long non-coding RNA is filed under the name Homo sapiens (human). RNAcentral's name for it is "HSALNT0131633". Lineage: Eukaryota; Metazoa; Chordata; Mammalia; Primates; Hominidae. The record is from RNAcentral.